UGCCAGCAGCCGCGGUAAUACGUAGGAUGCAAGCGUUGUCCGGAAUCACUGGGCGUAAAGGGUCCGUAGGCGGAUCUUCAAGUCGGAUGUGAAAUCCCGGGGCUCAACCCCGGAACAGCUCACAAAACUGUAAAACUAGACACACGAAGAGGAAACUGGAAUUUGUGGAGGAGUAGUGAAAUGCGUUGAUCUCACAAGGAACACCAAAGGCGUAAGCAGGUUUCUGGUCGUGUUGUGACGCUGAGAGACGAAAGCGUGGGGAGCAAAAAGGAUUAGAUA
RNAcentral lists this ribosomal RNA (279 nucleotides) under uncultured bacterium. Its description in RNAcentral is "partial 16S ribosomal RNA". It matches the Rfam family "Bacterial small subunit ribosomal RNA", at positions 506 to 784 of the family's 1533-position model. The record is from RNAcentral.